GAGUUUGAUCAUGGCUCAGGAUGAACGCUAGCGAUAGGCUUAACACAUGCAAGUCGAGGGGCAUCACGGGAUUAGCUUGCUAAUCUUGGUGGCGACCGGCGUAAGGGUGCGUAACGCGUAUGCAACUUGCCUGUCAGUGGGGAAUAACCCGGAGAAAUCCGGACUAAUACCGCAUACACUUUAGUUUCUGCAUGGGGACUUUAGGAAAGAUUUAUUGCUGACAGAUAGGCAUGCGUUCCAUUAGAUAGUUGGUGAGGUAACGGCUCACCAAGUCAACGAUGGAUAGGGGAGCUGAGAGGCUUAUCCCCCACACUGGAACUGAGACACGGUCCAGACUCCUACGGGAGGCAGCAGUGAGGAAUAUUGGUCAAUGGGCGAGAGCCUGAACCAGCCAAGUCGCGUGAAGGAAGACGGUCCUAUGGAUUGUAAACUUCUUUAGUAGGUGAGUACAAGCAGUUACGUGUAGCUGUAAGCAAGUACCUAGAUA
Molecule: ribosomal RNA, 487 nt
Filed under: Porphyromonas cangingivalis
Lineage: Bacteria; Pseudomonadati; Bacteroidota; Bacteroidia; Bacteroidales; Porphyromonadaceae
Description: bacterial SSU rRNA
Rfam family: Bacterial small subunit ribosomal RNA
Source: RNAcentral